GUUCUUGCUUCGGCAGAACAUAUACUAAAAUUGGAACGAUACAGAGGAGAUUAGCAUGGCCUGCGCUUGGCCAGCUGAUAAGUAAUUCAGUGAUACAACAUGCAUACAU
Molecule: small nuclear RNA, 109 nt
Organism: Anastrepha obliqua
Lineage: Eukaryota; Metazoa; Arthropoda; Insecta; Diptera; Tephritidae
Source: RefSeq, a predicted model, not a curated record